This is a long non-coding RNA of Centruroides sculpturatus (bark scorpion), 2066 nucleotides long. RefSeq lists it as uncharacterized. The record is from RefSeq and is a predicted model, not a curated record. The transcript has 3 exons. NCBI's taxonomy places the organism in Eukaryota, Metazoa, Arthropoda, Arachnida, Scorpiones, Buthidae.
AUUAAUUCUGUUUCAUUCAAGUUUUAAGAUUUCCAUUUUAUACAGGAGGUGUUUGUAGGCAUAUAAAUACAAGGACUGGUUGAUAAAUUUUAUUAAAAAAAAAAAAAAAUUAUAAGGACAAUGUAAUUCACUUCUGUAAUUUUUUUUCUAAACUCAGAAUGAAAGCGGUAAUCAAUUAAUGAAAGAAAUAUGUCUAUACAUUUACAACUUGACUAUUUUUCACCCUUCUAUGCUUGUCAUCAUCGGUUUUUUAAGGCUUUCUGCGCUAAAUUUCGCAAUAAUAAAGGAAACAAUUCAAUUAUUAUUGAGAAAUCUAGCUAAUUCGCACAAAAUUCGAUUUGGAUAAUCUCAUUUUGAUUUCUUUGAUUUAAGGUUCUAGGAAACUACAAUAACUCAGAAAUAUUCUUGACUCCACGUUAAAAAUUACAUAUUCUACUAGGCAUUGUAAUAAAGUAAACCGAUGUAAUCUUAUUUAUACUGUUAUUUAAUGCAACAAAAAUAAAUCCCGUAAAUCUCCUCGAGAGGCAGAGAGAAAUUCACUUUAAAGUCUAUCGAUCUCGUGGAAGAGUCUGUUAAAGUGCUGUUCCUUGUUCGUCAGAAUCUCUCUUCGGAUAUGGAUGUUGUCGGAUUUUAUUCAGGAUUGUUGUUUGAGGAGAGCAUCAUAGGUACUACGAUUGUGACGUUGCACUUAAAUCAAAUUUUAAAAUAUAUAAAUUUGAAAUAAUAAAAAUAGAAACUUUAAAUAUUAUUGCAAUUACUUAAUGAAAAUUCAGAUGUAAAAGGAGAUAUUUAUGAUUCUUCUUUUCCAUUUAGUCAUUCAAACUUCUGAAAUAUUUUUCUGCAUUUCACUAAUUUACCUUAUUCAUAUUUUCUGUUUUCCCAAUUUUUUUAAAAUGUUUAACGAAAUUAUCUGAAUAUUUAGGAGUUAAAUAACCAAGCAGAAAAUUAACAACCAGAAUUGUAGAAUCGUAACAUCCUCUGUUUAAAGUAUCAUCGCAUAAUUAGAUUUUUGGUAACACGGCACAUAAAUCAAGUGUAAUAUUUUAUGCAAAAAACUAAAAAAUCAGGGUAACAUAUAUGUGCAUGCCCGAGACAUUUACAGAUUAAACGUAUAUAAAUAAAUUUUAAAACAGAUCAUGAAUCAUAUUGCUUAUCCCUAGAGCCCUAUAUACUCGUCCAAUCAAUGAGUGUACUUGGCGUCGUCAUGGACAACAUUCUUCAUAAUUUAUUGCCGAAUAACGCGUUAAAAAUAUCGGAAUAUGUCGUAAAAAAUAUAAAGAAUCGAUCAUAUCUGUUAAAGCAUUUGAUGCCGAAAACAAUUUGUGGGUAAUUCUAAGUAUAACAGAUGCGAUUGUUUGAUACAAUGAUAUACAUUAUUUGCAAUUGAAAAUCUCAUUUGGGUGGCUUGAUGGAAUAUGGCAUCGCAACACGUGGACCAUCUGCCGAGGGGAUUCCUUCCGAAAGGACUUCAUAUACGGGGAAACUGUCCCUAAUCGGGUGUUAGACACGUGAAGACGACCCGGAAAACUUCAUGUGGUUUAGUCAGGCGCGAAACUCCGACCAAUGUUUACGGUUAUAGCCGCUCGGUCAUUGGUGGGCAAGUUCUUAUCUACAAUAUUCAUCAUAUUCAUGUAAGUUUUAUAACUUAAUGUAGACUGAUUGAAGUAUUGAUUCAUUUAUUAAUUAACACGCCAACACAUUAAGACUAUGUCCGGCCACAACUACAUUCAUUACGGAUGGGCUUGACCCACAUGGGUUCGACCAAUAUAAAUGAAUAAUGGAGUGCGCUAUCUCGACUCGCAAUUCUACUACGAUAAAUUAUACUUGGAAUAUAUAUUAUUUAUUACUUUAUAAACUACACCGAUGUCGAAAAGUUAGGCAUAAUACCUACAUCCCUCGAUACAGUAUUUCAAAAACUGUUAAUCAAAACGACAAAAUAUUUGGCGUGUUAGAAAACAUUAGAUCCACGAAUAAACAAAGCGAUUAAUUUGUAUAAGUGUAGACUUUAAUUAUGCAAAACAAGAAAAAUUAAAUUUAUUUGAAAGUCGUUUCAAAUUCGUACAAUA